AAACCAACAGGGAUUGCCUUAGUAGCGGCGAGUGAAGCGGCAAAAGCUCAAAUUUGAAAUCUGGCACCUUCGGUGUCCGAGUUGUAAUUUGAAGAAGGUAACUUUGGGGUUGGCUCUUGUCUAUGUUCCUUGGAACAGGACGUCACAGAGGGUGAGAAUCCCGUGCGAUGAGA
Molecule: ribosomal RNA, 173 nt
Filed under: uncultured Debaryomyces
Lineage: Eukaryota; Fungi; Ascomycota; Saccharomycetes; Saccharomycetales; Saccharomycetaceae
Description: partial 26S ribosomal RNA
Rfam family: Eukaryotic large subunit ribosomal RNA
Source: RNAcentral